AGUAUUCAUGCGAGGCUAACCCAUAAAAAGCUCAACCUCACAAUCCUUCUCAAGAAGUACAUGAAGAAAAACGCUCUCCAGCCUGUUCUAGAAGAGCUAGUACACGAAGAGAAGCCAUAGAAAAUCUCUCGCAAGCUCAGUCAAUCGAUACGCCGCUAAGGCAAGAAAACUGAGAAGAUCAACCCCCAGAGUCAAUGAGGAGGUCGAUCAG
RNAcentral lists this long non-coding RNA (211 nucleotides) under Prunus persica (peach). Its description in RNAcentral is "long non-coding RNA (PPER_LNC005962)". The record is from RNAcentral. Lineage: Eukaryota; Viridiplantae; Streptophyta; Magnoliopsida; Rosales; Rosaceae.